GGCGAGUGAAGCGGUAACAGCUCAAAUUUGAAAGCUAGCUCUUUUAGGGUUCGCAUUGUAAUUUGUAGAAGAUGCUUCGGGUGUGGCCCCGGUCUAAGUUCCUUGGAACAGGACGUCAUAGAGGGUGAGAAUCCCGUAUGUGACUGGGUGCUUUCGCUCAUGUGAAGCUCUUUCGACGAGUCGAGUUGUUUGGGAAUGCAGCUCAAAAUGGGUGGUAAAUUUCAUCUAAAGCUAAAUAUUGGCCAGAGACCGAUAGCGCACAAGUAGAGUGAUCGAAAGAUGAAAAGCACUUUGGAAAGAGAGUUAAACAGUACGUGAAAUUGUUGAAAGGGAAGCGCUUGCAACCAGACUUGCGCGCUGAUGAUCAUCCGGGCUUCUGUCCGGUGCACUCGUCUGCGCUCAGGCCAGCAUCGGUUUCGGUGGUGGGAUAAAGGCCUUGGGAAUGUAGCUUCUUUCGGGGAGUGUUAUAGCCCUCGGUGCAAUGCCGCCUACCGGGACCGAGGACCGCGCUUCGGCUAGGAUGCUGGCGUAAUGGUUGUAAGCGACCCGUCUUGAAACACGGACCAAGGAGUCUAACAUCUAUGCGAGUGUUUGGGUGUCAAACCCAUACGCGUAAUGAAAGUGAACGGAGGUGAGAACCCUUAAGGGUGCAUCAUCGACCGAUCCUGAUGUCUUCGGAUGGAUUUGAGUAAGAGCAUAGCUGUUGGGACCCGAAAGAUGGUGAACUAUGCGUGAAUAGGGUGAAGCCAGAGGAAACUCUGGUGGAGGCUCGCAGCGGUUCUGACGUGCAAAUCGAUCGUCAAAUUUGCGUAUAGGGGCGAAAGACUAA
This 829-nucleotide ribosomal RNA is filed under the name Cadophora sp. RNAcentral describes it as "partial large subunit ribosomal RNA". It matches the Rfam family "Eukaryotic large subunit ribosomal RNA", at positions 88 to 934 of the family's 3401-position model. The record is from RNAcentral. Lineage: Eukaryota; Fungi; Ascomycota; Leotiomycetes; Helotiales; Ploettnerulaceae.